UUACGGGAGCUGAACGAGAUUCGGCUGAGAGGGAACUUCCUGGUUCCGACCGCACCUGAUCCGGAUAAUGCCGGCGUAGGAAUCAGAUACUCU
RNAcentral lists this non-coding RNA (93 nucleotides) under uncultured Treponema sp. Lineage: Bacteria; Pseudomonadati; Spirochaetota; Spirochaetia; Treponematales; Treponemataceae. The record is from RNAcentral.